GUAAGCCGUGUGCGGGAAAUCCGCACGCACGGUUUGAAAGGGGGUCUUGCCCUUCAUCGCCCAGUUUCACGGCCGGGCAGGAGAAAGUAGGAUCUACCAAUGCGUGCUCGCGCAGAGUGGGUGCCAGUGCAUCUCUGGCGACCCGCC
RNAcentral lists this non-coding RNA (147 nucleotides) under Sorangium sp. So ce836. The record is from RNAcentral. Lineage: Bacteria; Pseudomonadati; Myxococcota; Polyangiales; Polyangiaceae.